Dalotia coriaria is the source of this 947-nucleotide long non-coding RNA. RefSeq lists it as uncharacterized. NCBI's taxonomy places the organism in Eukaryota, Metazoa, Arthropoda, Insecta, Coleoptera, Staphylinidae. The transcript has 2 exons. The record is from RefSeq and is a predicted model, not a curated record.
UUGCGCUGAAUAGAAAAUUACGAUUAUUUUUUUAUGCAAAAAGACAAUCGCCACGAUCGCUUUUAAUCGUUGAAAGCAAACACGUGUUGUUGUUGCAAAUUAAAAAUAAAAAGUACUGUGUCAUUUGCGACACGGUGUCAUGUCUAACAUCACGACCAGACAGAGAAUUCACUUAGAGAGCAAAGCGUGGCCGGUCCGCGAACGGAACUGGAACAAAGUGAAAUUUUUUCUGUUUUUCACUUCACCACAAAGUGACAGUUAUCUUCCGCAUCCGUUUAUUUAAAAAUACUAUCAAAAUGUAUAGGGAUUAUAACUUUUAAUUAAUGAAUAUUGCAAACAAUAAAACUAUGUUAAUGUUAAUUCCACAGGAACGUUGUAAAAGUACUAAAUAAUCCACUUUAAACAGUUUUUUAUGCUUUUUAUAAACAAAAACAAGUUAAUCCGCUAAUAAAACGAACUUAAAACUCAUAAAACACGUUAAUUUUCUUAUAUACGUUAGAGCUAAACAUAACCCUAAAAAUGACGUUUACAAUGUUGCCACACCUAACCUAAUCCAAAAAUAAGUAAAUUUAUAUCAUACGCCUAAGAUUCAAUGAUUGAUGUUAAUAAAUCACACACGAUUUGUAUACAAACCGCACACGCACAGUCCUUGACAUAAAAAUAGCACGGAAAAGCGCGAAAUAUAAUUCAGACGCGGCGUAUACCAUAGAUUUGCAAUAACAUCUCCUGAAAAGCUGGAUUACUGGCUUGUGUUAUUGCCUUUUUGAGUGCCUGCGUGAAAUGCAUGAAGCAAGCAAUGAUUACGAACCAUAGCAGUGCUAUAUUUAUGUAACAGUCAAGGUCCUGCAUGUUCAAAACGGAAUUCAGUAAACACUACGUAUUGUACUCGCAUUGCCUAACUCACCAGCUACGCGCAUAAAUAAAACGUAUUCUAUUAAACGUAAAAA